AACUAUAGCUACAUGUACAACUGUAGCUAGCUAACUAGCUAGCUAGCUAUAUAUUCUCGGAUCCGUGUAAACGUGCUUGAAAUUUUCUGAUCAUUUUCAACAAAAAUGACCGACAUGCUUAAAUUCAGCACCAAAAUUUAUGGAAACAUGCAAAUUUUUUUGUGUUGUUUUAAUUUUACUGAAUUAAAAAGUAUUAAAACGUUCUACUUUUCCCCUUUUUAAAUAUAUAAAUAUGUUAUACAUGUGUGUUAUAAAUUUCGAGUUAUUUCGUCGAACAAAACACACAAAACUAAAAAAAACAUUAUUUUUGGCGAAAGUAUACCAUCUUUCCAACCUUGUGCCAACACCGCGCUACUAGCUACGGACUUGAAAAUUGGUAUGGGGGGCCUGGAAACAUGGUUCUAUUGGCUGGUACCGUGCACCGUUCGUCUCGCAAACUAUAAACUACUUAAAUUUUAAGUUAAAGUCUUCUUUAGGCGCUAAAAAAGAGGAGAAAAAGUUGCCAAAGUGGUGCACAGCAAUUUGAUGUAGUGUGAUCCCUUUUCUGUUUAAUUAUAUAAUUAUCUAAACUUCUAAGCAAGUCACAGUGAUGGCGUUUAAUGUUUUAGUAGGUAUGGUUUUUCCCAGCAAAAUUACGGCAACCCGGUGUUUUCUUUUGACUUGAUUGCUCGACCCGGGAAUUCCAAUCCGAAACCGGGAUUUUUUAAAAAUGUUGGAAUAAGCGAGACAACAGUGUCUUAGCAAUUUUGAAGCUAGCUAAAGUUUGGCAGAGCACGAGUUAAGACUUUGGUGGGCUCUUUCAAGAUAAAAUUGUUGAAAUCAAAGAUGUUUAUGGCUAGCUAGCUAGCUAAUCUUGGCUUUAUCACAAGAUUGGGUGCUAUUUUAUACAAUUUAUAAAGAAACACAAAAUGAUUGCUUUGUAUAUAUUUAAUGUAUAUAAUAAAUAAACUAUUUAUGCACAACUUGAGAUAUUUUCUACUAACAUGAUAAACUAGAAUGUUGAAACUGUCGACUCUGAAUGACGUUUUAUUAAAUGUAUGAUGUCACAUAUUUGGCCCGAAAACCCUUAGGACCAAAAGUGACCCUUUGGACAAUUUCGGACAGAUAAAUAUUACAUCUACAUCAUCUUUAAUGGCCUCAGAAUCCAAAGUAAUGUUUUUUAUUCAGUUAAUAAACAAAUUUUAAGCAUACAUUCAGGCUCUAAAGGCUGUUUUUCACAUAAUUUCUAACAUUUGGCCCAAAAAUAACCCUUUGGACAAUUUCGGACAGACUAAUAUGUCAUCUACAUCAUCUUUAAUGGCCUUAGAAUCCAAAGUAAUGUUUUUUAUUCAGUUAAUAAACAAACUUUAAGCAUACAUUGAGGCUCAAGGCCGUUUUUCACAUAGGUCUCACAUUUGGCCCAAAAAUAACCCUUUGGACAAUUUCGGACAGUAAUAAAAUUAAUUAAUUUUUAUUCCAGAUAUUUAACCUAACCUGUGGACCAUAAAAAACAUGUUUCCUUAACUUUAUUCUAGAGAUAUUGUGGAAGACAUUCAUCUAAAUGAUAAUUUUUAAGUCAUUUUUAGACAUUUUGGCCUAAAUAUACCAAUUUCGGACAGGUGUCCAAAAAUUUUUUUCUUUUAAUAAUAUGGACAAUUUAUCUGAGAUUAUUAUUCUUUUUACAGAAUAUAAAAAUUUUAUUUCGUUCUUGAGAUAUCUUGUUUUAACUGAGAGGGUAAUUCGAAUUAUUUUUUCGUAACAUUUUUGUCCGCUUCGAAACAGCUGUGUAUUUCCAGGAGGGGCCAUGGCGUAGAUGGAGAGUCCUAGAGUAUUUAAUGCUCAUUUUGAGCUACGCAGACCCAAUUAGAGCCCGCGCUCACUAGACAACUCCCGGCAACAUCCAACGGCCCACACAGUGUGCCAUCUUCCCAAUUUCCCUCACAUGGCUUGGGUUAACCCGGGGCUAUGGUAACAUUCACUCGCCCAUGUUGAAUCGCCGUCAAGAGGAAUCGAACCCCGGUCUC
Long non-coding RNA from Hydractinia symbiolongicarpus, 2003 nucleotides. RefSeq lists it as uncharacterized. The transcript is spliced from 2 exons. NCBI's taxonomy places the organism in Eukaryota, Metazoa, Cnidaria, Hydrozoa, Anthoathecata, Hydractiniidae. The record is from RefSeq and is a predicted model, not a curated record.